Podarcis lilfordi (Lilford's wall lizard) is the source of this 81-nucleotide non-coding RNA. The record is from the annotation of a GenBank genome assembly. NCBI's taxonomy places the organism in Eukaryota, Metazoa, Chordata, Lepidosauria, Squamata, Lacertidae.
GUCUGGCUAACAGAAUAGCUCAGUUGGUAGAGGUUGAGACUCUUAAUCCCAGGGCUGUGGGUUCAAGCUCUAUGUUGGGCA